This 494-nucleotide ribosomal RNA is filed under the name uncultured bacterium. RNAcentral's name for it is "bacterial SSU rRNA". It matches the Rfam family "Bacterial small subunit ribosomal RNA", at positions 15 to 507 of the family's 1533-position model. The record is from RNAcentral.
GAUCCUGGCUCAGAUUGAACGCUGGCGGCAUGCCUUACACAUGCAAGUCGAACGGUAGAGUGGCAAUACUCGAGAGUGGCGAACGGGUGAGUAAUAUAUCGGAACGUGCCCAGUCGUGGGGGAUAACGUAGAGAAAUUUACGCUAAUACCGCAUACGAUCUAAGGAUGAAAGCGGGGGGAUUCGCAAGAACCUCGCGCGAUUGGAGCGGCUGAUAUCAGAUUAGGUUGUUGGUGAGGUAAAAGCUCACCAAGCCGACGAUCUGUAGCUGGUUUGAGAGAACGACCAGCCACACUGGGACUGAGACACGGCCCAGACUCCUACGGGAGGCAGCAGUGGGGAAUUUUGGACAAUGGGCGAAAGCCUGAUCCAGCAAUGCCGCGUGCAGGAAGAAGGCCUUCGGGUUGUAAACUGCUUUUGUACGGAACGAAAAGGCUCUUUCUAAUAAAGAGGGCCCAUGACGGUACCGUAAGAAUAAGCACCGGCUAACUACGUG